CUGUUUGGUUACUUUUUAAUACUAGGAACAGUUGGUUUUCAGAAAGAGUAAACAGAUUCGCCAGUUCUAGUUACAACUUUUCGCAUGUGCUGCCCAUUGUCAUGAAGCAGAAUCGCACUUCGAAUAGCAAGACAAUUUGCUUUCUGACGGAUGAGGAAUUCACCUACAAUCACCAGUCUCAGGACCGCACUUGUCAAUAUUUGAACUGGCCAAAAUUUUCACGUUGCCAAACAGGUUUUUCCAAAGUCGACCAGCUCUGCUGAACACCCAAUAUCUAGAAGUUUUAAGUUGGGAGCUUCGUGAUGAAAAGUGCCGUGCCUAAAGUAUUUGUGU
Photinus pyralis (common eastern firefly) is the source of this 333-nucleotide long non-coding RNA. RefSeq lists it as uncharacterized. The transcript has 3 exons. The record is from RefSeq and is a predicted model, not a curated record. Lineage: Eukaryota; Metazoa; Arthropoda; Insecta; Coleoptera; Lampyridae.